This 376-nucleotide ribosomal RNA is filed under the name uncultured bacterium. RNAcentral's name for it is "bacterial SSU rRNA". It matches the Rfam family "Bacterial small subunit ribosomal RNA", at positions 524 to 898 of the family's 1533-position model. The record is from RNAcentral.
UACGGAGGGUGCAAGCGUUGUUCGGAAUUACUGGGCGUAAAGCGCGUGUAGGCGGCCUUGCAAGUCGGAUGUGAAAGCCCUCGGCUUAACCGGGGAAGUGCAUCUGAAACUGCUUGGCUCGAGUACGGGAGAGGGAGGCGGAAUUCCCAGUGUAGAGGUGAAAUUCGUAGAUAUUGGGAGGAACACCGGUGGCGAAAGCGGCCUCCUGGACCGAUACUGACGCUGAGACGCGAGAGCGUGGGGAGCAAACAGGAUUAGAUACCCUGGUAGUCCACGCUGUAAACGAUGGGCACUAGGUGUGGGGGGUAUCCACUCCUCCCGUGCCGAAGCUAACGCAUUAAGUGCCCCGCCUGGGGAGUACGGCCGCAAGGUUAAA